GACGAGGUGUUUAUGUAUACGACUUGAAUCUUUAGAUGCAUGCUUGGACGUGUUUCUUGCCCUAAAUAUUCAGAUUGUGGAAGGAUGGGAAAAAAACAAGUCCUGGUUGCCAAGAGAGAGAAUAGACGAGGUCUUACGUGGAGCUGAUAAGUUCAAAACUUGGUUAAGUGACAAGGAAGCUGUGCAGCAAAAGACUACUGCAUUUAGCAAACCGGCUUUCACAUCUGAUCAAGUAUACGACAAGAUUUUAGAUCUCCAAGACAAGGUUGCAAGUGUGAACAGAACCCCCAAGCCAAAACCGAAAGUUGAGAAACCGGCGAAGGUGGAAACAGAGAAUGGUGACGAUAAAGCAAACAGCACAGACUCUGCAUCUGAAGAGACCACCUCUGCAAAAGACCAGACGACAACUGAAUCAGACGAUGUCGAGGCUGAAACCGAGUCCAACGGUCACGAUGAGCUGUAAUAAUCAUUUAGUAACACACACAAAACCAAAGGUGCCAAUAGAUAUGAACAGGGGCGUAGCCAGGGGGGGCUAGACCCCCC
Salvia miltiorrhiza (redroot sage) is the source of this 543-nucleotide long non-coding RNA. RefSeq lists it as uncharacterized. NCBI's taxonomy places the organism in Eukaryota, Viridiplantae, Streptophyta, Magnoliopsida, Lamiales, Lamiaceae. The record is from RefSeq and is a predicted model, not a curated record. The transcript is spliced from 4 exons.